AUGGCAUUGUCUACCGGUGCAAGCAAGGAAGCAAUGCUUUGUAAACAACAAAAGCAACAUGAUGCCAAAAGCCAGUACCUUCACCGCAACACCCGUCCUGCCGAAACGUAUGGCUGCUCCAUCUCUCACUGCAUUCUGAGGAGCUCCAUGACAUGGAACUGUGAAGUUUCAUUUUGUCUUAACCAAGAUGAUCGAGUGAUAUAUCGCCGCCCGCGACUGGAUUUCUUGGGGACAUCAUUUCUUAUCCCUGCAAGUGUUCUUCCCUAUUUCUUGGAGACAGCUUCAGAGAUAGCAAAGGAUCUUGACGACGCCGUCAAACAAUUGAUUGAUCUUUUGUGUGAAUGCGACCGUACUACACGAGGCAAAGCUAAAGCAUUUUGCUUUGGUGGCUGGGAUGCUGAGGGUCUGGGAGCAUCUGCUGUUCUUAGAGCUACAGCAGAAGCCUUAAAAUCCACAAGUGAUCCUGACAUGAAAAGGCAUAUUGGCAGAAUUAUCCAUGUGGAUUGCUCCCUAUGGAAAAAUACAAGGGCCAUGCAGAGGGCAAUCGCGGAGGAGUUGAACCUUCAGCAUGUAAUGGCACUAUUUGAUGAGCAGGAUGAAGAAGAUUAUUUUAGAGGGGUAGAUGAGAGCUCUAGGGAAGUGAUAGCAAGCAUCGGAAGAGUGAUCUAUGAAUCUCUAAUGUAUGAAAAGUUUCUGCUGAUUUUCCAUUAUGGGGGAGAUGAAGAUAUUGAUCUGGCAGAGUGUGGCAUUUCUGAAGUUGGUCCGUUUGGUAAAGGUAAAUUGCUGUGGACCAAUCAUGGAAGAUUUCCCUACUCAGUGAGAGGAUUUCAUAAGUUGAUGUCCAUUUCUACUUACAUUGACAUGACCAUCUACUCUGGCCCUCAAGAUAUGGUCUCCAACUCCAUCUCUAUCAAAAAUAGUAGUCACCCGGUGUGUGCUUUCUUUCACAAACAAGCAGCUGCAGUGAUUGAUCACACCGGCAUGGAUGGCAUCAACCCGACAACAGUUCUAGAUUGCUUAUUAUACUCAACGUUCCUGACACAACAAUCACAUCAAAACCGAGCUAUCGGUGUCGACUAUGGUUGGGAUACUCACGCUUGCAACUACUGGAUUUGUGAUGGAAUCCUUCAAGGGGACAGAGCUUGGGAGAUUGGCAAUGCAUUAUAUGGAGUGAUAUCACGGUUAGGCUAUUCUUCAGCGGCAACAGGACCAUUUGCAGAGUAUUUGAAUCGGCGAGAAAACCCCUAUAAUGGCUGGUAUUCAGUUACCUCAAACAAACAAACUGCACAUGACAUGUGUUAUGUACCCAAUAGCGCAUCAUCAUAUUUCCUAACUUAUAAGGGACAUGAUCCAAUUUAUCUACGUUAUGAUUUUUUUCACCUAGCUACCAAUCUCCGUGUGCUAAAACUCAGCAAGUGCAGCUUUGAUUUUGCAUAUCCUCCUUUUCGGUGUUGCCACAACUUGAGAUUCCUUUGGCUUGAUCACUGCACAAACACAAGGAAGGGGUAUGGCAGAGGAUCAAUUUUUCCCAACCUGUUGGUGUUUGACUUGCGUUUCACAGAAUAUGUUUUAUUUCCAAAGAUGAUUGAACUGAUGACAGAUCUCAGGGAGAUAAAUACAAAGGGAGUCUCAUGGAAGACUAUCAGUCAUGCAUGGAAAAGGCUACAGAAACUUCACAAGCUCCGAGUAACCGAAUCUUCAGAUGUCAUCACAGUGGACAGUUUCUCUUCCAUAGAUAUGAUGGAUCUGCAGCUCCUUGAUUUGUCCGGCAACACUCGCAUGGAAUCAUUACCUGAAUUGUCAUCAGCAAUAAGUUUGAAGAUGCUUGUUCUUGAUGGUUGUUCCAGCUUGGAGCAUAUUGUACUCCAAGGAGCUCUUCCACUGCUUGAGAGUUUCAGCUUUGAUGGUUUUGGCCCAGCUGACAACUGGACACAUUCCAUAGAUCUGCCACAAAGGGAAUUACGACUCAAGUCUCCGGUAGCUCUAGAUGAGAAGAAAGCCAAGGUGGUCUCACAACAAAGGAAUAAAGGGAAAGAAAAGGCCAAGGUGGCCUCCCAAAAAGAAGAAGAAACAGCCAAGGUGGCCUCGCAGAAAAAGGAAUUAAAAGCCAAGGUGACCAAGAUCUCCCUAGAGGGUUGUGUUCGAUUGCAUAAAAUAUUCUUGCGUGCAUUGCCCAAUUUGAAGGAACUGGACCUCUCUAGUACAUCCAUUAAAGUGCUCAACCUCAAGGCAAUGGGUGUUCCAGGCCUCAGGAAGCUAUUCCUAUUGGGUUGUCAGCAACUUCGUGCCCUGAUCUGGGACGGAUACCCUAGAUUGCAAGUGCUACAUGUAGACACACGGGGAACCACAAGAUCAAUGCGGGGUUGUGGAGAACACGGAUCCUUUGACUUUAAGGCAUGUGUUGCCUUUACAGAUGGAAGGUUCAUAGGGCCAGCCAUACAAGGCAUAAAAAACCAAAUUUACCCUAACUCCUCCAGGGUACACCUCCUUAUCACUUGUAUGGAUCAUAGCCAAGCCAGCAUCACGAAUAGUGUUGAGGAGGUUUGCCCUAGCCAAGAAACCAAUUUGGUUCCAACAGGGAAAUUGUCUCUUUAUAAUGAUAUUGCCCUUGUCAAGGAUGUCAAAUGCUUGUCCUUGUUAUGGGACCGUCGACAGCUUCAACCUUUGGACAAGCACAUCGAGAUUGGCGAAGGAAGCUACAACUUUGAGAGUAUAGAUGACAAUGGACAUUUCAGGGAUUUUGUUUUGACAUUUGUUCAAUCGUUGCAUGUGCAUGACAAUUCAUCCAUCACUGCUAUUCCCCCAAAGCGUGGAGGGAUCUGGCGCGGCCUAGAAUGGUGUCAUGUGGAUAGGUGCCCCAAGCUCCACAUUCUUUUUAAAUGUUGGAGGGCACAAAUGAACUUUGAACACAUAAGGGCAUUCUCAGCUUCUGAUCUCCCGAUGGCCUAUUGCAUCUGGGGUAGAGGCAUUAAUACUCAAAGCAGUAGUCGUUGUUUCAAACAACUGCAGCACAUAUACCUGCACAACUGCCCUCGGCUGGUGUUCGUCCUCCCCAUUUCCUUCAUCUUGCAUAGCUUGGAGACCCUCCAGAUUGCGUACUGCAGUAACCUUCGACAUGUUUUCCCAUUGGACAAAUGGUGCCCUCAAGAAAUCGCAUCUAGUGUCAAAUUCGAGAAUCUGAAGCACAUCAAGCUAUACCAUCUUCAUAGCCUGGAGCAGGUUUGCGAGGCCAAACUGACCGCACCAGCAUUACAGACGAUCAGUCUCAGGGAUUGCUGGGGCCUGAGGCGUCUACCGGCUGUAGCACAUGAAGGUCCUAAGCCGGUGGUGGACUGUGAGAAGGACUGGUGGGAUAAGCUCAUGUGGGACGGCAUCGAUGUUGGCCAUUACCCGUCGCUCUUCGAAAUACGCCACUCAGCUCACUACAAGAAGACCAUCCCAAGGGGCUCCCUUCUAAGAUAA
Molecule: ribosomal RNA, 3462 nt
Filed under: Triticum aestivum (bread wheat)
Lineage: Eukaryota; Viridiplantae; Streptophyta; Magnoliopsida; Poales; Poaceae
Description: partial small subunit ribosomal RNA
Source: RNAcentral